UUACCUUAGGAUGGGAUAACCUGGGAAACUGGGGAUAAUACCGGAUAUUAGGUGAUGCCUGCAAUGGUUUGCCUUUGAAAUGUUUCUUGUAUUCGCCUAAGGAUAGAUCUGCGGCUGAUUAGGUCGUUGGUGGGGUAAUGGCCCACCAAGCCGAUGAUCGGUACGGGUUGUGAGAGCAAGGGCCCGGAGAUGGAACCUGAGACAAGGUUCCAGACCCUACGGGGUGCAGCAGGCGCGAAACCUCCGCAAUGUACGUAAGUGCGACGGGGGGAUCCCAAGUGUUAUGCUUAAUAGUAUGACUUUUCAUUAGUGUAAAAAGCUUUUAGAAUAAGAGCUGGGCAAGACCGGUGCCAGCCGCCGCGGUAACACCGGCAGCUCGAGUGGUAGCUGUUUUUAUUGGGCCUAAAGCGUUCGUAGCCGGUUUAAUAAGUCUUUGGUGAAAGCUUGUAGCUUAACUAUAAGAAGUGCUGGAGAUACUAUUAGACUUGAAGUCGGGAGAGGUUAGAGGUACUACCGGGGUAGGGGUGAAAUCCUAUAAUCCUGNGAGGACCACCUGUGGCGAAGGCGUCUAACUAGAACGAUCUUGACGGUGAGUAACGAAAGC
Molecule: ribosomal RNA, 604 nt
Filed under: uncultured rumen archaeon
Lineage: Archaea
Description: bacterial SSU rRNA
Rfam family: Archaeal small subunit ribosomal RNA
Source: RNAcentral